This 1138-nucleotide ribosomal RNA is filed under the name uncultured bacterium. Its description in RNAcentral is "bacterial SSU rRNA". It matches the Rfam family "Bacterial small subunit ribosomal RNA", at positions 8 to 1159 of the family's 1533-position model. The record is from RNAcentral.
AGAGUUUGAUCCUGGCUCAGGAUGAACGCUAGCGGCAGGCCUAAUACAUGCAAGUCGAACGGGAUCGGGGGCUUCGGUCCCCGUGAGAGUGGCGCACGGGUGCGUAACGCGUGAGCAACCUGCACGUCCCAGGGGGAUAGCCCGGAGAAAUCCGGAUUAAUACCGCAUGAGAAUGCAGGUCCGCAUGGGCCUUCAUUUAAAUAUUCAUAGGGGACGGAUGGGCUCGCGUGACAUUAGCUGGUUGGCGGGGUAACGGCCCACCAAGGCGACGAUGUCUAGGGGCUCUGAGAGGAGAAACCCCCACACUGGUACUGAGACACGGACCAGACUCCUACGGGAGGCAGCAGUAAGGGAUAUUGGUCAAUGGGGGGAACCCUGAACCAGCCAUGCCGCGUGCAGGAAGACGGCCCUACGGGUUGUAAACUGCUUUUGCACGGGAAUAACCCCCGGUAUGUAUACCGGGCUGAAUGUACCGUGAGAAUAAGGAUCGGCUAACUCCGUGCCAGCAGCCGCGGUAAUACGGAGGAUCCGAGCGUUAUCCGGAAUUAUUGGGUUUAAAGGGUGCGUAGGCGGCGCGCUAAGUCAGGGGUGAAAGACGGUGGCUCAACCAUCGCAGUGCCUUUGAUACUGGCGCGCUUGAAUGUACCUGAGGUAGGCGGAAUGUGGCAAGUAGCGGUGAAAUGCAUAGAUAUGCCACAGAACACCGAUUGCGAAGGCAGCUUACCAAAGUACGAUUGACGCUGAGGCACGAAAGCGUGGGGAUCGAACAGGAUAGAUACCCUGGUAGUCCACGCCCUAAACGAUGAACACUCGAUGUCGGCGAUAGACGGUCGGCGUCCCAGCGAAAGCGUUAAGUGUUCACCUGGGGAGUACGCCCGCAAGGGUGAAACUCAAGGGAUUUGACGGGGGCCCGCACAGCGGAGAGCAUGGUGGUUUAAUUCGAUGAUACCCCAGAACCUUACCAGGGCUUGAAGUUACUGAAUUGUCAGAGAUGAUCAGUCUUCGGUACAGGAACUAGUGCUGCAUGCUGCUGCAGCCUGGCCGUGAGUGUGGGUUUAAGUCCCGCAACGAGCGCAAACCUAUGCUUAAGUUGCCAGACACGUUCAAGGUGGGACCUCUAAACAGAACUGUGCCUGGU